GGGAGGCAGCAGUGAGGAAUAUUGCCCAAUGGGGGAAACCCUGAGGCAGCAACGCCGCGUGAGGGAUGAAGGCCUUCGGGUCGUAAACCUCUUUUCUGAGGGACGAGAGAGGACGGUACCUCAGGAAUAAGUCUCGGCUAACUACGUGCCAGCAGCCGCGGUAAAACGUAGGAGGCGAGCGUUAUCCGGAUUUACUGGGCGUAAAGCGCGCGCAGGCGGCUCGACAAGUUGGACGUGAAAGCUCCUGGCUUAACUGGGAGAGGCCGUUCGAGACUGCCGGGCUUGAGGUUGGGAGAGGGGUGUGGAAUUCCCGGUGUAGUGGUGGAAUGCGUAGAUAUCGGGAGGAACACCAGUGGCGAAGGCGGCACCCUGGCCCACACCUGACGCUGAGGUGCGAAAGCGUGGGGAGCAAACAGGAUUAGAUACCCGCGU
This 432-nucleotide ribosomal RNA is filed under the name uncultured bacterium. RNAcentral describes it as "bacterial SSU rRNA". It matches the Rfam family "Bacterial small subunit ribosomal RNA", at positions 343 to 791 of the family's 1533-position model. The record is from RNAcentral.